UGUUCUUGCUAUUGCUGAUAGUGUGACCAUUAUAAUUCAGCCUUUGUCCUGGUUUCCUUCGCGUUAGCAAUCAAGAAGGGGAUAACUCACAUUUGAUUGGCUAAUAUUAUUUGAAGGAAGGAUAAAUAAUAAGUUGACAAUGAAACGAACGGUUAGUGAAGUGGAAAAAGUGAGUGAACAAAAUACCGAAGCUUCAACUUCAAAAUCAUCCCAACCACCGCCAAAGAAGAGACGGGGUCUGACACAAUGCAAGAAUGUCAUAGACGCGAAAACCUUAUUACCUUUAAGGGUUAAUAAGUUUGGACAGCCGAUCGGUCCUGGGAGUGGUACACAUACUAAUUAUCUGGGAACACUUGCCUGGAAGGGUGAAUUAGCUCCUUUGUGCUACAAAACUUAGUGGGAGAUGCCUAAACG
This is a long non-coding RNA of Cornus florida, 414 nucleotides long. RefSeq lists it as uncharacterized. The transcript has 3 exons. The record is from RefSeq and is a predicted model, not a curated record. NCBI's taxonomy places the organism in Eukaryota, Viridiplantae, Streptophyta, Magnoliopsida, Cornales, Cornaceae.